CACAGAGUAAAUUAAGGAAUGCAUUAUAGCUGUUAAAGCAAUCUUAAGGGAAAUCCGAAGCUUCCACUGCAGCACCAUGCUUAGAAGUUCCUGUUUUCUUCAAUGUCAAAUAGCAGUGAAAACAAAAAAUCUCCCACUUCCAGUUCUAGGAGAAUAUUAGGCUGCACAGAUCCAGAGACUAACUUCUGGAGUUCCAGGGAAGUGCUGAACCAGAUGUCCUGGUGCAUGAGGCCUGGUUUCUCUACCAUAGAGAUUCAAGGAGACAAGAUGGAAAGCAACAAGUGGAGCUAAAAGAACUGAGCAAUGUUUCAGCUGCUCCCUACUGAAGUAGAG
This 333-nucleotide long non-coding RNA is filed under the name Equus caballus (horse). RNAcentral's name for it is "lncRNA (ENSECAG00000033576.3)". The record is from RNAcentral. Lineage: Eukaryota; Metazoa; Chordata; Mammalia; Perissodactyla; Equidae.